GAUGAACGCUGGCGGCGUGCCUAAUACAUGCAAGUCGAGCGAACGGACGAGAAGCUUGCUUCUCUGAUGUUAGCGGCGGACGGGUGAGUAACACGUGGAUAACCUACCUAUAAGACUGGGAUAACUUCGGGAAACCGGAGCUAAUACCGGAUGAUAUUUUGAACCGCAUGGUUCAAAAGUGAAUGACGGUCUUGCUGUCACUUAUAGAUGGAUCCGCGCUGCAUUAGCUAGUUGGUAAGGUAACGGCUUACCAAGGCAACGAUGCAUAGCCGACCUGAGAGAGUGAUCGGCCACACUGGAACUGAGACACGGUCCAGACUCCUACGGGAGGCAGCAGUAGGGAAUCUUCCGCAAUGGGCGAAAGCCUGACGGAGCAACGCCGCGUGAGUGAUGAAGGUCUUCGGAUCGUAAAACUCUGUUAUUAGGGAAGAACAUAUGUGUAAGUAACUGUGCACAUCUUGACGGUACCUAAUCAGAAAGCCACGGCUAACUACGUG
Molecule: ribosomal RNA, 497 nt
Filed under: uncultured bacterium
Lineage: Bacteria
Description: partial 16S ribosomal RNA
Rfam family: Bacterial small subunit ribosomal RNA
Source: RNAcentral